UCCGGUUUGUCACCGGCAGUCUGGCGUGAGUCCCCAACUAAAUGAUGGCAACACGCCACAGGGGUUGCGCUCGUUGCGGGACUUAACCCAACAUCUCACGACACGAGCUGACGACAACCAUGCACCACCUGUGAACCGGCCCCAAAGGGGAAACCACAUCUCUGCAGCGGUCCGGUCCAUGUCAAGCCUUGGUAAGGUUCUUCGCGUUGCAUCGAAUUAAUCCGCAUGCUCCGCCGCUUGUGCGGGUCCCCGUCAAUUCCUUUGAGUUUUAACCUUGCGGCCGUACUUCCCAGGCGGUGUGCUUAACGCGUUAGCUGCGUCACCGAAGGGUGAACCCCCCAGCGACAAGCACACAUCGUUUACGGCGUGGACUAC
RNAcentral lists this unclassified non-coding RNA (375 nucleotides) under uncultured bacterium. RNAcentral's name for it is "contains 16S-23S intergenic spacer region". The record is from RNAcentral.